Molecule: long non-coding RNA, 1128 nt
Organism: Zalophus californianus (California sea lion)
Lineage: Eukaryota; Metazoa; Chordata; Mammalia; Carnivora; Otariidae
Source: Ensembl
UAGUGAUGAUCCAAAUUAGCUUAUUGAUGAAAUUUUAGUACAGAGGUAAUGUAUUUGUGCUGUCCUUCAGACUUAAAUCUCCAUGGAUAAUAUGAAAUGUUCAUGCCUUUUUGAAAAUCAACUAUUAAAAAUAACAGUAGUCAUCUCUAGUUAUUGACAGUAAAAAAUCUUGGAAUUAGAGAAUUUUUGGAGGAUUUAGAAUUUUCAAGUUUGACAACUGUGCCCCCAGAGAAGCAGAAUAUCUUCAUCUCUGCAGUUUCUUCAUUUUGAAUCCUGAGGUUGUUCAGGAAUCCCUCUUACCCACAACUGGUGUAGCUCAGCAUCCUGAUCUCCAAGAGUGGUCUGGACCGGUGUAAGGGUAAUAUCACCCUCUUGCAAGGGACUGGGUUAGGAUCAUGUAUGUUCCCUAGUUCACCUCAGUGAGUUGCAAAGAUAGGUUUGUAGGAUGCUUCCAGAAAAGCUUUUCCAGGAGAACUUCCAGAAGAGAUUCACGCUCCCUCUGGACAUGAAUGAGCUUGGAUAUGAGGUGUGAAAUUGUUACCAUCCUUUUGAUGGCAACCUGUGUAUGAGGUCAGCACAUGGGGGAGGCCAAAAGAAUAGCCGAGAAAUGGAGCUAGAGUAAUGGGAUUAUGUCUGUCUGUCUUAAGUCUGUCCCACUUUUGGAUCUCAUGUGAGUUAAUAAACUUCCUUAUAGUUUAAAGCAAUUUUGAGUUGGGUUUUCUGUAACUUGCUAUGAAAGUUUUCUAUCUUGCACAGGUGGCAGAUACAGACAUGGUCUCUGACAUCUUAUGAUUAGUGAGGAAGGCAGAUAGUCAAAUGGGUAGUAUUAUACUUCAAGCAACAGAAAACUAGAUUAAAGUGACUAAUACAAAGGGGAUUGUUUUUCUCAUAUAAUAAACCCAUAGCAGAUGUACCUGUUUGAGAAUAUCAGCAAGGAACUAGGCUCCUUGCUUUCUGUGGGACUAGGGAUACCUAGUAUAUGACUUUUGUCUUUAUGGUUGUAGGAUGACUCUACCCUUAUGGACAUUGUGUGCACACAAAGAUGAAAAUAAAAGGGGCAAAGAGCCAAAGGAACAUGCCUGCUGAGUUUUUUUCUUUUGAAAAUCUUUGCCAGAGGCUCUACCCUGC